RNAcentral lists this long non-coding RNA (1179 nucleotides) under Rattus norvegicus (Norway rat). Its description in RNAcentral is "long non-coding RNA NONRATT013195". The record is from RNAcentral. Lineage: Eukaryota; Metazoa; Chordata; Mammalia; Rodentia; Muridae.
CCCGACUUCGAUGUGAAUGAACCGCUGUGCAUGUUUUCACCCCCGAAAUUCCUCACAGUUCCCACGGACGGUGCCCAGUGAUCAGCAACGUUGGUGGCUACGGCCUCACGAGAGAGGUGUCAAUCAAAGAGAGGUGCCAAUCAGAGGUGCGACUCGUCUUUCCCUCCCAGAAUCCCUUGAGCGCUCGGCGCCAGGAGUGGGAAACCCGCGUGGGCCCUGCAGAUGCCGCUCUCUUCCAUGUCAAUCACGACCGGGUCCCAGGUGCUGCGAGUUGGGCCAUCGGCGUCCAUUGAGGGUUUGGUGGCUGCUCCCAAAGGCGUCACUUCCGGGCCCUGACUCUGCCCCUGCCCUCGCAUGGCGCUAACCCUGUCUCGGUGAUGAUGAGGCCUGCGCUCUCCAGAGGACCUUCGGGUGGAAGAUGGAAGUAGUGCCCUCCUCCCCCCACCCUUCCCCCCAUCCCGGAGGCCCAGGGUGGGCGGCAGCUGCGGUGCAGAAAGCGAUGGUCACGUGACACACGGAACUGAGGGGCGCCUCGCCUGCACACCCAGGGCUGGGAACUAAAACAAGGAAGCGGAAGUAUAAUCAUGUGUGAACCUUGAAGCGGAAGUACAAUCGCGCGUGUUCCAGGAAGCGGAAGUGAAACCGUGUAGCGGGUCAGGUUUCUGGCAGAAGUUGUAGGAGCAGCUCCUGCGCCCCCCUGACCUGUGAGGAAAAGGAAAUCACGUGAGGGAUUCUGACAUAAGAACCUCAGGGCGGGGCAAAUGAUGAACAGACACGCCUACUGUGGAAUGAUUGACAAGCACGGCUGAAAUGAUUGACAAGCACAUGAGUGACAAACAUGGCUGAAUGAUUGACAAGCACAUGACUGAUCAACAAGCACGGCUGAAAUGAUUAACAGAGACGGCUACCACUGAAUGACGCCGGAUCUGCCAGAGGCGGGACUUGUUGUCCAUGUACCGCCCCUCGGGGUAGAGCUGCCACAUGAGAGGCAGCGGUGAGGUCAGGAGGUCACGGGGCUUCGAAGCGUCACCCAGAGGAACUGGAACUCGCCGGACCCGAGCCUUUAGGGUGGCUGUGUCCUGAGGGGAAUUAAAGUUAAAAUUUAAAUUAAAUUAAAUUAAAAGCAUUAAAAUAUCUUUAAAAAAUUAAAAAAUUAAAAUAUUAAAAUUAGACUGAACC